UACAGAGGGUGCGAGCGUUAAUCGGAUUUACUGGGCGUAAAGCGCGUGUAGGCGGCAAGGCAAGUCGGAUGUGAAAGCCCAUGGCUCAACCGUGGAAGUGCACACGAAACUGCCUCGCUAGAGUCUCGGAGAGGAAGGUGGAAUGCUUGGUGUAGAGGUGAAAUUCGUAGAUAUCAAGCGGAACACCGGUGGCGAAGGCGGCCUUCUGGACGAUGACUGACGCUGAGACGCGAAAGCGUGGGGAGCAAACAGG
RNAcentral lists this unclassified non-coding RNA (253 nucleotides) under uncultured Myxococcales bacterium. Its description in RNAcentral is "contains 16S-23S intergenic spacer region". It matches the Rfam family "Bacterial small subunit ribosomal RNA", at positions 524 to 776 of the family's 1533-position model. Lineage: Bacteria; Pseudomonadati; Myxococcota; Myxococcia; Myxococcales. The record is from RNAcentral.